UACGUAGGGUGCAAGCGUUAAUCGGAAUUACUGGGCGUAAAGCGUGCGCAGGCGGUGAUGUAAGACAGAUGUGAAAUCCCCAGGCUCAACCUGGGAACUGCAUCCGAUACUGGAUGGCUUGAAUCCGGGAGAGGGAUGCAGAAUUCCAGGUGUAGCGGUGAAAUGCGUAGAUAUCUGGAGGAAUACCGGUGGCGAAGGCGGCAUCCUGGACCGGCAUUGACGCUGAGGAGCGAAAGCCAGGGGAGCAAACGGG
Molecule: ribosomal RNA, 253 nt
Filed under: uncultured bacterium
Lineage: Bacteria
Description: partial 16S ribosomal RNA
Rfam family: Bacterial small subunit ribosomal RNA
Source: RNAcentral